UUGACCUCGGAUCAGUAGGAA
RNAcentral lists this ribosomal RNA (21 nucleotides) under Pleosporales sp. s019. Its description in RNAcentral is "partial 28S ribosomal RNA". Lineage: Eukaryota; Fungi; Ascomycota; Dothideomycetes; Pleosporales. The record is from RNAcentral.